This 4430-nucleotide long non-coding RNA is filed under the name Homo sapiens (human). RNAcentral describes it as "HSALNT0371189". The record is from RNAcentral. Lineage: Eukaryota; Metazoa; Chordata; Mammalia; Primates; Hominidae.
GCUUGGUGAGAGUGUGCUCCAAUUGCUUAUUGGUGCCUGUCACGGACAUGGAAGUGGUGCUGUGUGCAUCACAUUUGCCAUCCUUGGUUUGGCCUGUCUUUCCCAUCUGAGCUUGCCUUCUUACUACACCCUUCUGUAAACCCUUUGCUGCACUCACACUGCCCAGCUCCCUGCCCCCUGCGAUGCUGGAUGCCGUGUGCUGCCUGCCUGCCUCUGUGCCCUGGUGCCCCCGCCUUCCCCGGCCUGGGACACUCUCCCUCACUCCUCAGCUCAUCCAGGCUUGUCCUCUUCUGCAAGGAUCAGUUCAGACUGCCCUGCAGGGAAGCUCCUCCAACCCACCCCUGCCCUAACCAUUCCACAACCAAAGGAUGCCAUCUGUUUCUGACUUCUCAUAACACUCUCCGCGUCUUCCAUGGCCUGCACACACAUCUCAUGGCACCUCAUGUGGGCACUGGUGUCCUUUCCUCAUGCCUAUUGCUGACCUCUUAGUGACUGUGAGGCCCAAGGGCAGCUAUGUUGUCCCCUCCCCUUUGUUGGGGACAAAGGGAAUAUGAUUUUGUGAUUUAAUUGGCAGAGCUUGGAUGUGGCAAUCAGAGAUCCUAGCUAGGGCUCCCGGUGCUGCUGCUUGGGGAUGUGUGACUGUCCCUAAAUCUUUUGACCUCUCUGAGCCUCAGAUUCCUCUUCUAAUAACACAGAGUCACUGGGAGCACGCAGGGAGAUGUGUGUGCCUGGUGCAUUCUGAGCUCUGGGUGCAUAGUAAGCACUUGGCUUAAUACCUGGUAGUGUUCUCUUUCUUUCCUUCCUGGCCCUGGUUCCUUGAACAACCAUUCCAAUGUGGUCCUUAUAUCUUUCUUUGGGACGGCCCUCCAAGUGUUUGUUGGGAGUCCAAGUGGUACAGCCCGAGAGCUUGGUGCAGGAGAAAGCGGGUAUUCUGUUCACUCAUGGAAAGACCCAAAGAUCAUGGGAACCGCAGCAUCAAAGGCAGCCCCACUUUAGGCAGCAGCUGUGUUCGCGCACAACUGUAUGCAAUUUCAAUUUGAUUAGCUUUAACAUGAGCCCCCUUUUACAAGUCCCAGGGGACUUGCCAAUUAAUGAUCUGUUUGGCAAAUCCUUUUGUAAAAUGCAGAGUCACCAAAUUGUUCUGCUUUGUGGUUCUGGAUUCGUACAUAUUAGGUUUUCUUCAAGUAGGUACUAUUUUAGCAGUGAAACCUCCUUAUAUUCUAGCCAAGUUUUUGAGCUUCAGUAGUCAAAAUUACUAUUUAUUUAAAUCUGUUGAAUAUGUAUUAUAUUCCGGAAAGCUAUUUUCAACUCAUGAAAAUUAAGUGAGAAAACUAGAGUUACCAGGGUCCGUCUUCUGUUCCUGCUGUGUACCCGACUCUCGCUGGCGGUCCUGGCAGAUGCUCAGCUGUCCUUGAUAAAGGAACAGGAGUGCUAAAAACCAGGAAGAUGCUGAGAACAAGUAAUCUGGCCCGGGAAACAUGUAAUUACCAUGAGUGCCAGUCUCUGUAAUGAAGCGUUGAUAGGGCCAAGUCCAGAGCAUAAAUUACCAGGGAAGGGGGCAAGGUAAGAUGUCGCGUCCAACAAUUUAGCCUCCGAGUAGCUUCCGGCAGCUGUCCUGUAAUGCGUCUUGUCUGGUGCAGACCAAGGCAGAUGCAUUCCAGUGCAUUCCACCUCAAAGGGAGAUAAGCAUGGAAGGAGUCAAGUGAGACUGUUGGUCUGUCUGCCACUCCCUCUGGAGAGAUACUAGGAGUUUCAGUAGUGUUUGCUUGUUGUCGCAGAAUCCUAGAUUUCCAGGACAGACUUUGAGAUCAACCCUCUCAUUUUACAGAUAAAGGAAUCGAGGUCCAGGAAGGGGAGUAGAAUUACCAAAGCCUCCAAGUGAGUCAGUAGCCAUGGUUGGUACUUGAACUUCCAUCCUUUGACUUGGUUUACCUUUGUUACCCCACUCAGUUCUACCCCAGGAUGGCCAGAGGAGACCAGGCUUGACUGACAGCCCUGUUUCCUAGGGGAUGUCACUGUCUAGGUAGAGAUGCUGGAGAUAUAGCAGGAAGAAAACACACCCAAAUCCUGGCCUGCAUGGAGCUGAUAUUGUAAGAUACCCCACACCAUCAGUCAAAGAUAUACCAUGUCAGCAAGAGGAAGCCUGGAUAUGCCGUGUGUGUUUUUCUAGUGGUGAUUGUUUCUUCAUUAGAGCCUACAAAGUCGGUAUGUUUUAAAAUCCAAAACUGGAACAAAAUGAAAGCCGUCCGUGAAUCUUGGCUGAGUUUGGGCCGUAAUUCAUUCAAGUAGCUCAUUACGCAUCGGAAUUACCCAACUGCCGAAGCUUCUGAACAGCAGGCAAUUCUAGAGCUUCACUUUCAACUUUCUGCUCUUAUUGAUUUAUGAAACCUUACUACCUUCAAAAUCAUGAAAUAUUCCAGGCAUGCAAAGAGGCACAGAGAAUAUUUUAAUGAAUAUCGUGCACCCACCACCCAACCGAGGAAAUAAAGCCUGACAGUUACAAUCGAUGCUCCUGUAGACUCCUCCCAGAUUUCCUUCCUUCUCGCUCUCCCUAGAGAUUACCACUGCCUGAAUUUAGCAAUUUUUCUUAAGUUUGCUAUCCAUAUAUGUAAUCAUAAACUACAUGAGGCAUUGUGUGUGUUUAAAAACUUUAUAUAAAUGGCAUCUUGCUAAACAUAUCCUUCCGCAAUGUGUUCAUCUUGCCACGUUGGUGGGACUCAUCUGUGCUGAUCUAUAUUGCUGUAGUUUAUUUCACUGCUGCAUAGUAUUCUGGUAUAUGAAUAUAUCACGGAAUAUUCAUCUGUCCUCCUGCUGAUGGGCAUUUAGGCUGCUUGCUGUUUCUUGCCACGGUAAACAAUACUACAGUGAGUGUCCUGGUACAUCUCCUUGUGUACAAAUGCAAAACUUCCUCCAGAGUGUAUACUUAUGAUUGGAAUCACUGGAGUUCAAGGCAUGUAUGGUAGACAGAAUUGAAGGUACACAUGCCCUGUGUAAUCUCCAGGACCGUGGAUAUGAGGAAUAUCGCUCCUGAGACUGGAUUGUGUUUUAUGGCACAGUUGAAUUUAAGAUAGAGAGAGUGUUAAAGACAAGAUAAUUGUGUCUCCAUACCACUUAAUCCUUCCCCGUCCCCCAGCCAAUUCAUACGUUGAAAUGCUAAUCCCCAAUGCGGUGGCACUGGAAAGUGGGGACCUUAGGAAGUGAUUAGAUCAUAAGGGUGAACCCCUCAUGAUGGGACUGGUGCCUUUAUGAGAAGAGGUUAGAAGGCUAGCUAACUCUCUCUCUGCCAUGUGAGGACACAGUGAGAAGGUGGCCAUCUGCAACCCAGAAGAAGGCCCUCACCAGAACCCGGCCAAGCUGACACCUAACCUUAGACUUUCAACCCUCCAGAAUUGUGAGAAAUAAGUCCCUGUUGUUUAUGAGCCUUGAGUGUGUGGUACUUUGUUAUAGCAACCUGAACUAACAAAGUGAGAUUGUCCAGAUGGGCAUGAUCUAAUCACUGGAGCUCUUUAGAUGAAAGUCUGUUGGCCAGAGACUGAGAAGUUAGAGGGGUUUGAAGUGCUAGAGGGAGAUUCUCCAUGCUGGCUCUGAAGAUGGAGGGGGCAUGUCACCAAGAAUGUGGCUGGUGUCUAAGAGCUGAGAGCAGCCCCUGGCUGACAGUCAGCAAGGGCAUGAGGAUGUCAGUCCUCCAAGCGCAAGGACCUAUACUCUGCCAGCAACCUGAGUGAUCUUGGAAGAGGAUCCUGAGCUCCAGAUGAGACCACACCUCAGGGCAUGCCUUGACUUCAUCCUUGCAAGAAUCUGAGCAGAGAACCCAGACAUGAUGUGUCUGGACUUCUGACCUAUGGGAACCAUGAGACAUAUUUGCUUUUUUUAAAAAAAAAUUGUGGUGAAAUAUCCAUAACAUAAAUGUGCCAUUUGUAGAGGUACAGUUCAGUGGCCUUAAGUCUAUCCACAUGAUUAUGCAACCAUCAGCACCGUCUAUCUCUAGAACCUUUUCAUCUUCCCAAAUUGAAACUCUGUCUGUAUUAAAAUUCACAUUGUUUUAAGUUGCUAAGUUUGUGGUAAUCCAUAAAUAGCAACAGAUAAUUAACACAAUAUCCAAAGCCAUAUUUUUUCUAACAAAUUAUUUUAUCAGAGUAGUCUCACUCAUUUGCCUAUGGUAUCACUAUUCAAGAAUUUCUAGGAUACAUUUAUUACCAACAUAUCAGAGAAGAACUAAAAUAGCUCAACCUUUGUUUCAUUCUCCUGUGGAGGUUUCAAGCAGGUAGUGACUUCAGAAAGAAAUGGGAAUAGUUUCUACCUAGAUUAAACCUUCUAAUUCUCCUCCCCCUCCCCCAUUACAUAUAUAAUUUGUUGCUUAGAAACACCUUUAUUUCCCAUUUUAUUUUUAAAAUUGCAGUGACAGAAUGGAAGGGAGGUGUUAGCUUGAA